CAUUCUGAACUUGCAAGUAGUUGCAGGCUGUGCUCCGUGAAACCAUGGCCACUCGUCUGUUUGAGGAGAGGGCUCACGCUGCUAUUUAUCAAAAAUACAGGUUUUCCCCGCAGGAGAAUCUACAGGGCGUGAUCUUCUCAUACCUGGAAGAAAAGGUAAGAACAUAAUAGUGUGUGUCAGUCUGAACUUAUACCCGUAGAUCAUUGCAUUCGUAGAGUUGGCAUAUGUUAUAUAAAAGGAGAGCUCCAUUAUGAACUUUCUUGACUCUGAUACUAAUCUUUAUCCUGAAGAUGUCCUGGAAGGCUUCCUGGCCUUCUUAAUACUUGAGGAAAAAAUUAGCAUGGUAAAUGAUUCCUCUAGAAGACCCUUACCAUAACCUAACAUUGGUAUAUAACAGUACAGGCACUGAAAAACUCCCCCUCCCUUAUGUGGGGGUUGUGUUCUGAGGCCCCCACACACAUAAGUGAAAAUGUGCAACAUGGGGAGCACCCUUGAAAAAAACCUCUGAAUGCCUGCUUUCCCCUCCAGCUCUCCUCCUCUCUCUCCAAUCCAGACCAAAAUAUCUGGAGUUGAAGCUCUGGGGGCUGGAUGGAGGUUGUGAGGAAAGCGGCGGCAGAGGCAGCGCUACCUCCUGCGUCAGCUGCUAGACGAGGAGGCUGAGCAGCCUAAAACAAGGCCCUGUUGCGCCUCUGGUCCUUUCUAACUCCACGAUUCUACAGUGUCACUUUGCUGCCCGAAGUAAAUAUUCUGUCUCUUUCAUUUCUUGUAAACAACCAAUCUUUCAUUAUUCCUUUUCUGUGAAAACUUCUAGCAGGCAUAAGGCUAAGGGUAAACACAUAUUCAAAAUAAGCAAACAUUAGAAAUCUAGCAAAAGGUCUUAGACCCCUUGGUACUGUGCCUAGGUAGUAACAAGGGGGUGGCAGUGAUAUAAGAAGAAAAUGGAGUUGGCUUUUACCCAGCUAGUUCCUCCCGCCAUUUUUCUGCGUCCAAGCAGCCCAUGACAUUUUGUGUUAAUUCACGGCUGGUUUCACUGUGUUCGAGUGAAAACUGCUCAUGUAUCGGACCUAGAUGGGUAUAGUGGUACCUCGGGUUAAGUACUUAAAUCGUUCCGGAGGUCCGUUCUUAACCUGAAACUGUUCUUAACCUGAAGCAUCACUUUAGCUAAUGGGGCCUCCUGCUGCCGCUACGCUGCCGGAGCCCGAUUUCUGUUCUUAUCCUGAAGCAAAUUUCUUAACCUGAAGCACUAUUUCUGGGUUAGCAGAGUCUGUAACCUGAAGCGUAUGUAACCUGAAGCGUAUGUAACUUCCAUGUUGGGGAUUCCCCAUCCUCCUUCUGAGGUAGGGAGGUGCAGGUAUUUGGAGCUUAUUCUUGGUUUUUUCUGAGAUGUGUCGCUAUCUUUUCUCAGAGAGUGAGCCCCGGGCAGCUGGCAGUCGACGUGGGUUGUGGCUCGGGCCAAAGCACUCAGAUGCUGGCAAAACAUUUUGAGAAGGUGGUCGGGACAGACAUCAGUGAAGCUCAGAUCGAGGAGGCCAGGAGAGCUCCACAACCGCCCAAUGUCUCUUAUCUGUAAGUAGGAGCUGAUCUCGCACGUGGAUAGCCGAGAAAAAGCAGGCAGGAAGAGGCUUUUCUCCCUCUCUCAUCACACUAGAACUCUUGAAGCUGAAUGUUGGAAUAUUCAGGACCAACAAAAGAAAACACAGCUUCAUGCAGCGCAUGUUUAAACUAUGGAACUCCCUUCCACAUGAGGCAGGGAUGGCCACCAACUUGGAAGGCUUUAAACGAAGACUAGAGAAAUUAAGGAAGAGGCCUAUCAGUGGCUACUAGCCACGAUGCCUCUGCUGGACCUACAAGGUGGGCAGAGUGAAGGCCAGUUUUUCUGACUACCGGAAGCCGCAGGAGGGAACCCAUUUUGCUCAAAUCCUGCUUGUGGGCUUCCCCUUGUAUCUGGUAGGCCAUUGUGAGAACAGGAUGCUGGACUAGACGGGCCCAGGCCUGAUCCAAAGGCUUUCCUUAUGUUCUGAUGUUUGUGCACAGAGACACUUCCAAUUACUCCACAAAUUAGAUAAUAAGUAUUAAAAUAUGAAAGUAUAUUUAAAGCGCUAUCAUACCACUUUAAAUAGUCAUGGCUUCCCCCAGAGGAUUCUAGGAGCCAUCAUUUGUUACAGAUUUACAUAAGCAGCCCCGGAAUGUCUUACUUUUCCUUAGGACGUCCAAAUUUUCAUUCGAGGGUAUGGAGUUAUGCAACCAUACAACCUUAGAAGACACCUGAAGCACAGGGAAGGUUUUUGGGGUUUUUUUAAUGUGCAGUGUUUUGUUAUGUUUUUAUAUAUGUUGGAAGCCGCCCAGAGUGGCUGGAGCGACCCAGUCAGAUGGCUUGGGUAUAAAAAAUACACUGAUUAUGGAAUAGGACAUCCCUAUUUUCAUCGGAGAAAUGUUGGGUGGUAUAACGAUGGCUGUGCUCUGCCUCCACAGCUGGAGCCAGCAAUGCUAGUGAAUUCCAGUUGUUGGAAACCACUGAGGGGAGAGGAGUCUUGCACAGGGGCCAAGAAAGGGGGGUGCGGUGGGUGCGGUCCGCCCCAGGUGUCACCACUGAGGGGGUGACAAAAUGCUGGGCGGCACCCACCGCCGGGCCUGCAGUGCGCCCGAGCUACGCAUGUCUACUGGGAGUGACGCUGUGGCUGUAGGGUGGCUGAGUGGGAGAAGGCAGGCAGACUCUGGAGGCUCACCCACUGGGCGCACUGCCCCAGGCGCCCGAGCAGCUUCCUCUGCCGCUGGUCUUGCACCCAGGUUUUGUUUGCGGGUUUCCCAAUGGGGCAUCUGGCUGGCUACUGUGAGAACAGGAUGCUUAGCCAGAUGGGCCUUGGGCCUGAUCCAGCAGGCUUCGAACAAUCACCUUGCCAUCUCCUCCCACAGGGUGUGCCCUGCCGAAGACCUCCCUUUCGAAGAUGGCUCUGUGGACCUGGUCACGGCGUUUGCGGCCGUCCACUGGUUUGACGGGCCUCGCUUUCUGAGGGAAGUGGACCGAGUUCUCAAGCCGUCAGGCUGUGUGGUCUUCAGCUCCUACAACUGGGACAUGCAGUUGUGUUACAAAGAUUGUACAGACGAGUUAACCGAGAUCUUCAGAGAGGUCAGUCCAUCGCACAGGCCUCGGACCUGAGGUCUGCCCUCAGACCACAUAUUUCAGGGCUAUCCCUGCCAGUUUUCUAGCCCCAAAUGUCUGUGGGGUUGUUGUUGUUUUUAAGUGUCUUUCCUGUAGAAGGACAGAAGAGUCCUUCAGUCUAGGUUAAUUGAGCAAACCUACAAGUCCUGGAUGCAUUUUAAUCCCUCCUGCAAAACACUGGCACUAUGGAAAAGAAUAUCAUUUCAGGGCCCAGUCGUUUAUUACAGUAAUAUUUAUAAAGCCAGUUUCUACAAAGCACCAUGACUUUCAACACUUUUACCAACCCCCGCUCAGUAAUUAAAAUAGUCCAUAUAUACACACACACACACCACAUAAAAAAGACCUCCACACACACACACCACAUAAAAAAGACCGAGGUCUGACUAUAAUUUGGUAAAUACCAAUUUAAAAAACAUUAAAAACGUGUUACAUGAAAUAAAUAAAACUGACCAUUUCAAACACUUAUAGCUACUAAAACCUAGGUAGGCAUGUGGGAAUGAAAAAGUUUUUAGCCAGGUAUGUCAAUGGGCAGGCAGUUCCCAAGUGCUGCCACAAUAAAGGAUUGAUUUCUUGUAAGUGCUGAAUGAAUGUUACGUGACACUUGUGAAAGGGCCAGUUUCGCAGAUCCCAGCCAUCAAAUGGGCACAUACUGGGUGACAGUCUUGAAAUACAGUGGUACCUCGGGUUAAGUACUUAAUUUGUUCCGGAGGUCCGUUCUUAACCUGAAACUGUUCUUAACCUGAAGUUCCUGAAGCACUAUUUCUGGGUUAGCGGAGUCUGUAACCUAAAGCGUAUGUAACCUGAGGAACCACGCUACAUUAUUCUAUAGGCUGCCACACCUCACACAUUUCCUUCAGUGCUUUUAGUCUUUCCAUAUAGGGAGCAUCUGCAUGUUAAUCAUUUUUCUACUCCGGAUUUCUGCACCUUUAACAGCUCAGCAUCCUCUUUUAUGCAGCAUGCUUUGAACAGUGAGAUUUUGCAAGCAUAAAAAAAAUGACUGUGGCUUCCCACCCUCUCUCUCUCUCUCUCUCUCUCUCUCUUUUCCAGGUGGUAGACCAGCUUUUCACCUUUAGAAAUAAAAAGCUCAAAUCACUUGAGAAUGAUUACCAAGAAAUCUUUGAUUCUUUGCCCUUUCAGGAGAAGAAGAGGUGAGUGGAUCAGGCCCUUUUGUACAAUGCGGUGCAUGGACCCAGCCAUGCCAAUCUCUUCAAUCUCCUGCUAAAAACAUUUCUGUUCCACCAAGCUUAUGCAAACUAUUAAGAAUGCAUCCACAGUUGUUAAAUGAUACCUGUUUUCAACUUCUUCUUUUUUUUCCAACUUACUGAAUUUGUAAGUUGUAUGGUUUUCUUGCUGUAAACGGCUUUGAUAUAUUUUUAUGACACAGCAACGUACAAAUAUUUUUUUAACUAAACAAAUGCAAAUUGGGAAUUCCGGAACAAUGCUGUCAAAGUCACUAAGUUGAACAGCCACACUCCUCUGAGCAAACAUACAUAUGAUUGACAGCACUUCCGUAGUCAAAAGAUUUCCGUACUCUCAACUCAGCCCCAAACUUCUCCUAAAGCUUUCUGCUUCUUUCUAGGAUGAUGGAUAUUUUCGAUAAAAUUCCCCUGAGCAUUGCUGACGUAAUAGGAUAUAUCCAGUCACUCUCGCAGUACCGACUUUAUCUGGAAGCCCAGCCUGAGGAGGCGAAAUCACUUCUCCAAAACACAGAGCGAAGGUGACAAAAUCUGUUUGCUGGAGUAAGCCAGAUGUGGAAGGGCCAAGGAACCAUGGUUGUGCACUAGGAGAGUCGCAUUGAAGUCUUUAGCCUGUGAUAUUGCAUGUCUUUUCAUAGAUGGCAUGCAGUAGAAUUUACCAGUAACUGUUCUCAGUACGAGAUGCUAGCAAAGCAGAAGGGCUUGGAUUUCCAUAUGUUUUCCUGCAAUUAAAAUUCAGCUCCAAUAUGCACGGUGUAAUUUUUUAUUCAAAAGAUUCCCAUGUAUAGUAACAGAAUUGUAAAGUUGGAUGGGAACCACACACCCCGCCAAAAAAUUAGCCCAGGGAUGGAAGGAAGAGAUAACCAUGACCAGAAAAGAAUGGCAAACCAAGUUGAUGGCAAAAUUAACUGGGAAGCUCAGAAAUCAAGAAGACAAGAACUUUAAGAAAGAAUGGGGAAACUUUAUAAUUUAUCUACGAGACUACUGUAAGCAAGUUAAAACAUUAGCAGGAUUUUUAUCACAAUUGUAAAGUAACAGCAAGUAUGGAUAAUUUAGAAGGAUAAAAAUUUGGAUUAGUAUUGAUAUGCAGUUGUAAAUAUCAGUAGGACCCAUGGAAGGGAUGGGUGGGGGAAGUCAGGAGAUUCAGAGUAAUCUCAAUAUUUGGAUUUUUUUUUGUUACAUGUUUAUACUUUUUAAAAAUCAAAUUAAAAAAUUAUUUUAAAAAGGAAAUUAUUUUUAAAAUUAUUUAAAAAUUUUAAAAAAAUAUUUUAAAAAGGGACCCCUAAGGGCCAUCUAGUCCAACCCCCUGCACUGCAGGAAUCUCCGCUAACGCAUGUGAGUGGCGAAGUCAGGAGUGUUGCCAGAUGCCAGCUAUUCAUUUAAUCUGCAUAAGCCAUGCUUCAAACCUUAUGCCAGCUUUAUGUCCUCAGUCCCAUUUCCCCACACCUUCUGUUUGCCGCAUUUUAUUGUACCAGUUUGUCAAAGAGGCAGCCUCCCAAAUUCUUCUAAGUAUCUCACCAUUAUGCGCCUGGCUGCCGUCAAAAGAAGAACUUGUUUGAACUGUGAAAAGAUGGAGCGGUGCUAGCUCUGGACAUUUCAAGGUGUUUCGUCCAGUAAUUGUUUUCAUUUCAAUGAAUCCCGGAACUGAACCCUGGUUUCUGCUCUCUUGCUUUCCUUCCCCUAGGUUUCUGGAGACGAUGGGCGUUUCUUCUCGGGAUACCCAGCUGGAGUUGCGCACGAAGCACAUUUGCGUCUUGGGCUGCAAGAGCUCCUAAGAGGAAUGUCAGUCUAAAUGCACAGGGCAGGGCGCAUGCGUAGGUCACUGGGUGGCUUCCUCUGAAACUGGAGGUCGGUAUCAUAUUUUACCUGCUCCUCACAUGUAGAAUCAUGUGCAUUGUUAAAAAUCUUUUCAUUUGGUAUCAUAAUAAAACAGAACUGAGUUGAAUAGUGAA
Podarcis lilfordi (Lilford's wall lizard) is the source of this 6308-nucleotide non-coding RNA. NCBI's taxonomy places the organism in Eukaryota, Metazoa, Chordata, Lepidosauria, Squamata, Lacertidae. The record is from the annotation of a GenBank genome assembly.